CACCCCUACGGAGACUGUUCGCACGCCUCCUGACCCGGGGAAGAGGAGGAAAUGGCGGCGACGGAGGCAUGCGUGGAGGCAAUGGCGGAGAUGCGCGCAUGCAGCUCCGACACCCAGGAAGUUUUGGGAGCACGAGGCGUGGUCUGUGCGGAUGGGGAGAGAUUGGAAGGCUCCAGGCGAGAGGAGCUUUGCCACGGCGAAAGGGGAUAGGAUUUGCUCCAUGCUGACCGCUCGGGACUGAGGAGAGGAGAAGUGGGGAAAUUUCGAUGUGGGUGAGUGGGAAAUUUUUCAAUCCCUAAGAUGGAACAGCUGGUGAGGCCUGGGGUUAAGGCCCUUCCAAGUUUCAAAUUCCCAUGGUUGGAGACUUGGAGUUGAAACUUAGAAAGCAGUAACUCUGUUGCUCUGAUGGAUGGAUUUAGCGUAUGAUAUGGUGGUCACGGUGCAACUAGAUUGUUUGGAGGUUUGCAUUUCUCCUGUUUGUUAGGUCUCGAGAUCACUCGGGAUUCUAUCCCUGGAUGUACUGAGAAAGGAGGAGGUUUGAUAGUAGCCAAUAGUUACUUAAGGAUUAGCAUUCCUACUGUUGUGUGAGGUCAAUGUGCUGGACAAAAGAACAAAUGUUAAUGCAAAGAUGGAUAAAACUAACAAGCAUCUAGCAUGUAAGAUUUAGUUUUUGCAACUAGUUGGAUCCUUGGAUGCUUUUCAUGUAUGGAAUUCCCUAAGAAAGAAAUCUGAAUUUUAAGUGCUCAACCGCAUUAUUCUCCACAGUUCUUUUAUCUCUUUUCAUUGAUUAAGUAACUUCCUUGAAAUAAAAUUCGAGUUAUGCAUUUGAAUGGAAUCAAGAUACAUUUGUAUUUAUGUAACGGCAGAACUUCUCUUCUUCACUUGCUCACCUGCCAUUCAGUCCUGGGUAGUAUGCUAGUAAAACCAAUACAUUAUCCUGAGAUGGUUAACCGAGUUAAGUGCUGAGCGUUGUAUUUAUUGCUCAAGAGUAAUGCUACUUCUCAAUUGUUUUAUUAUAUAUGAGUCCACUUGUACAUAGAUUUUUUUGUAAUAGGGGAGCAACAGUUUUGAGAUGAAUCGGUUAUGAUAGGGCGUGCUAGCAUUUGUUUUUGCAUUUGGAUCAGAUAAUCCUGGUAGUAUCCAGGCCAGAAACACUGUUCAGAUUUCUUCUGCCGAAGUGAGUUUCUCAACUCAUGAAAUCAGGAUUGUGAACUGUUGACGGUUCUUGAUGAAACAAUAAGAAUAAUGCUAUGUAUAUGUAGGAAGUUGCGGGAACAGUGAAGCUUGAAAAAAAGAGAACUCCUGUAGCACUAAUUGGUAAUUGCAUGUGGAUGCUAUCGUGGAAAAAUGCUCUCAGAUAUAUGUCCUUAUUGGUGAAAACAAAUGUUCCUUUUAAAAGAACAGGGCAACUCUUGUACUUUCCAAGAAGCUGCCGGCCGCCGCUUGAAAACUCAGAUUCCGGCCCAAGGGUUUUCGUCGGGUAGGCAGU
This is a long non-coding RNA of Phragmites australis (common reed), 1489 nucleotides long. RefSeq lists it as uncharacterized. Lineage: Eukaryota; Viridiplantae; Streptophyta; Magnoliopsida; Poales; Poaceae. The record is from RefSeq and is a predicted model, not a curated record. The transcript has 3 exons.